Molecule: ribosomal RNA, 325 nt
Filed under: uncultured eukaryote
Lineage: Eukaryota
Description: partial 18S ribosomal RNA
Rfam family: Eukaryotic small subunit ribosomal RNA
Source: RNAcentral
CCCUUAGAUGUUCUGGGCCGCACGCGCGCUACACUGAUGCAUUCAACGAGUUUUUCCUUGGCCGAGAGGCCUGGGCAAUCUUUUAAACGUGCAUCGUGAUAGGGAUAGAUUAUUGCAAUUAUUAAUCUUGAACGAGGAAUUCCUAGUAAACGCAGAUCAUCAAUCUGCAUUGAUUACGUCCCUGCCCUUUGUACACACCGCCCGUCGCACCUACCGAUUGAAUGGUCCGGUGAAGCCUCGGGAUUGUGGCGAGUUCCCUUUAUUGGGAGUUUGUCGCGAGGACUUGUCUAAACCUUAUCAUUUAGAGGAAGGUGAAGUCGUAACA